UACAGAGGUCUCAAGCGUUGUUCGGAUUCAUUGGGCGUAAAGGGUGCGUAGGCGGCGCGGUAAGUCGGGUGUGAAAUCUCGGGGCUUAACUCCGAAACUGCAUUCGAUACUGCCGUGCUUGAGGACUGGAGAGGAGACUGGAAUUUACGGUGUAGCGGUGAAAUGCGUAGAUAUCGUAAGGAAGACCAGUGGCGAAGGCGGGUCUCUGGACAGUUCCUGACGCUGAGGCACGAAGGCCAGGGGGAGCAAACGGG
RNAcentral lists this ribosomal RNA (254 nucleotides) under uncultured bacterium. RNAcentral's name for it is "partial 16S ribosomal RNA". It matches the Rfam family "Bacterial small subunit ribosomal RNA", at positions 524 to 776 of the family's 1533-position model. The record is from RNAcentral.